This 5897-nucleotide long non-coding RNA is filed under the name Setaria italica (foxtail millet). RNAcentral's name for it is "long non-coding RNA (SITA_LNC004770)". Lineage: Eukaryota; Viridiplantae; Streptophyta; Magnoliopsida; Poales; Poaceae. The record is from RNAcentral.
UCCAUUCCAAUCAGUUCCGUCAUGCGUGCACCUGUCCAUGUAGGAGUAGGAGUAGUAGUAUGUAUAAAUCUGAAUGGAUAUUCUGACAGGAGCAUGCAUUGCGUUUGGGUUGGACUUGCAGAGGGCGAGCACGAGUUCAGCUACGACCCGCACGCGGAGAACGGGCCGGAUGGCUGGGGCGAGAUCAAGCCGGAGUGGGCGACCUGCAGCGAUGGCCGGUGGCAGUCCCCCAUCGACCUCUACCACCACCGCGCCAUUCGGCGCGACCUCGGUUACCUCAACUACUCCUACAAGCCCGCCGAGGCCUCCAUCGUCAACCGCGGCCACGACAUCAUGGUGCGUCGAUAUCACUACUCCGGCGGGCAGUACUCCAAUGCAACAAGCAAUAUAAUUAAUACGAUACUUUGGUUAUUUGACGGGGCCUGGCUGCUGAUUAUAUUGUCUGUUGUUGCAGGUAAAAUUCAAGGGCGACGCCGGGAGUCUGGUGAUCGACGGCACGGUGUACCACCUGAAGCAGCUGCACUGGCACACGCCCACCGAGCACGCCCUCAACGGCCACAGGUUCUCCAUGGAGCUGCACAUGGUGCACCAGACCCCGGAGAAGAAGACGGCAGUGGUCGGCAUCCUCUACAGGGUCAGCAACCUCGCCGACCCGUUCCUGAAAAGUCUGCAGCCCGCCAUCGAGCGCUUGCGCGGCAAGGAGGAGCCCAUCGGCAAGGUGAACCCCAACCACGUCGGCCUCACGGGCAGCUCGUACUUCCGCUACAUGGGCUCCCUCACCACGCCGCCCUGCACCGAGGGGAUCAUCUGGACCGUCAUCCCCACGGUAUAUAUACGCUUCUUCAUUCUCGAUGCUUCCCGGCCUCUCCUGUUGCCCGAAUGGGUUUCAUUUCAUUGGGUGCUUGGGUUGGCGUCCUCAAGCUUUCAAGUGCUUUGUUUGUGCAGCUUCGCCUCGUGGCCUCGGACCAGCUGGAUCUUCUCAGGGAGGCAGUGGAUGACGUAAGAGUCGAUCUUAACUCCUUUGAUUUCAACACACGCCUGACCAAAAGAUUCAGACGUGGCUAGAAUCUAGAUAGUGAACAGUGUGUGAACGGACACUGGUUUUGCUUUUUUGGUAAGCUUGACCAUGUCUCUUCUUCCUUGUGUGUUACUGUUCUUACCUGCUGCAGGGCUUUGAGAUGAACGCUAGGCCGCUUCAGGAGGUGAACCACAGGACCAUCUGGUUCCGCCCUCAGCCCCACGUAUCUGUGGAGUAAACAUUACUGGUGAUACAUGCAUAUUGGGCUAGCUGAUCAGAUCAGGGACACCGCAUUGCGCAGCUUAUUAUGGCAGGCGAUCUCUUUAUGUAUCUUGUAAUUCUCUCUAUUUUCCCUAAAUAAAGCAUGGCAUCAUCUAUGUCCACAUUAAUUGAUGGCCUUGCAUGCAUGUUUGGAAGAUUAAAGUUUACACGAUGAUCCAUUCUUGAUGUGGGGAGAUCAAAUGAAAAACCCGGGGGGGGGGGGGGGGGGGGGCGGGGUGGUCCGACCUUAAUUCAUCCAUGGAGCUUCUUGCAAGCUCAUGAAACCAUAUACAAGAUUCAGCAAUUUUACAAACAAAGCUCCCACAACACACACAAGAAGGGAGAUACAACGCACACCGAAGAAAACAUCUAUUGUCUAAUCCCUCAACAAAGCUCAAGCACAACGCAUCCCUGAGACAGUACCAUGUAGUUCCUGACUAGCACCACUACCAAGUGGCUACACUUUGAUGAUUCCAUACCACCAGCGACUGUUAAGCUCUGAGUCAAAACGACAGACGACAGAUGUGAUCAAUGGCAUUUGGGGCUGCUUCCAGGAUCCUAACGAUGCCAUUCAACGUCGUCCUUCAAGGGGAGGAAGCUACAAAGGAGGAAGGACCAUCGAGAGGAGAUCGAGGAGAACCAAGAGGGGGUCAUGGUCUCACUAACCCGGCAUAUGAUAAGAUGACAUAACCAAGUGGCUUGGAUAGCGAAGAAGCAUAGGCACCAACAGCAACACAAGAUAGUGUCUAAUAUAUGUGAACACAGCGGAAGCAGUAAGAGGGAGCGAACGUCGACCAGGAGGGAGUAAGUCACGGGGGUAUUGCGAUUGGUGGCAUGAGGGGAUCUUCAAAAGCAAUGCCUUCAAGGGACGACGUCGGACAGAUGCCACCAUUGCUCAACUAGGAGACCGAGAUGAGUUUUCACCCGAAGCUCCCAAAAUGAAAAGGAGCAGGGACGCUACGACGAUACCUCCAAGGAGGGAGAUGAUGUCGGAGGACGUCACCGCCGCCGGCACCGGCAUUGAGCUGGGCAGAGCUUUCGCUCAGCACGCACCAUAUCCAAGCUGCGAAACUCUCACUAGCAUCGUUGAGGCUGACGACACCAGAUGUAGGGAGCAGUAGCGCUGCUUGGAGAGUGGUGUCGACCCUGCCCACCCGUCGUCAGUGCCACCGUACAUGGACGUCGGUGCACCACCGAUCCCCGUUGCACGCCGGCACCAUCACCCAACGGGCAACAAUGGCAACUAGCAGGGAGGGGGCAUGCCGCGCCGCCGCCUGGCCGGAGACAGCCACUGCAGCCUCGACGCCAGAUCCGGGCGAGCCACCCCAUCAGCGUGGGGAUCUGGUAGCCAGCCGCACAGAUCCGGCCAGCACCGGGAGAUCAGUGCGCCGCCACUGCUGCCGCUCCAGAACAGCUACCAGCCAGGAGGGCGUGCUGCCCUGCGAGGAACCGCAAGGACCUUGUCUGACUAGCAGGGUCAUCGGAUCCGGGCAGCAGAGGAGCAGAUCGAGCUGUAGAUGCAACACCACAGCCACAAUCCACCAUGGCUAUUGAGCAGGGUACGGUGGGUCAGAGGAGAAGGAAAAGAGGAAAAAUCACUUGGUCGCCGCCUUCCUCGAGCCCUCGCGGGCUUUCGGCGGAGCUCUCCGGCGACAGCGCGGGGCAGGUAGGGGAGGGGGAUAGCCUGUGGGGUUGCGGCGGCGGUUCCACCCGAGUCGCUCUUGGGGGCGACGCGGUGGAUGGAAGUCCACCCGCAUGUCCCCAAAUUUUGUCCAUUGCCGAGAUCGAUUGGAUUCUCUGAUGAAUGCUAAACUACUCGAAAUAUGAUCACCCAACUAGCACCAUGUCUCCUAAAAUAGAGGAAUGCAGAUCGUUAAGUAGUAAGAACUCACAUCGAUAGCCAACUAGGCACUCAGCGUGGUCCUCAAAAGGUCAGGCAUCGCUAAAGGAGCCCGCGUGGCACACCACUAUAUGUGGAUGUGGAUGGGGGCCUACACCAUUUCCUUCUGCAGUGGAAGUAGGUGGCGUGUAGGCACCCUGUUGGGUCAUUCCUGUGGCACUGACAUCCGUCAGCCCAUGCUCUAUUAGAACUUCGAAGACGCUAAGUCCAAGGAAUCGGAAGAAUUCGUCUACUAAUAAACAGAUUUAGGGCUCGUUUGGUAGGGCUCCGGCUGUAGCUAAAACAGCUUCAGUUGUGAUUCUUUCGGUGGAGCAGUUUUUUUUUACUUUGGCUUGUCUAAUUACAAAAUCAUUUGGCAAAACGAUUUCUUCUGGAGAUUGAAAAUGGGUAAAAAGGGUAAAACGUCUCUGAUGCCCCCUUUUUUCUUUUUUUCUUUUUUUUCUUACUUCUUCUCAUUCUUUCCUUCUCCUCUCUCUCUCUUAUCCGUUCGCCUCUUGUCGCCCCUACCGCCUGCUCCUCAUGGGCCGUCGGUGCCCUCCAACUCCCCACGCCGGUGCCCUCAACCGCGCCUGCUCCAUCCCACUGUCAGCAUCCUCCAAUCGAGCCUCUUCCCCCAAGCCAGCGAUGCCCUUCAACACCGCCGCUCUCGCGCACUAGCACCCUCCAGCCGUGCUUGCUCAUCCUGCUAACGCCGGCGAUGCACUCUGGCCAUGCCUCCUCCCUCACACUGCUAGCGUCCUCCGGGCCCGCCUACUCCCCCGCACCACUGGCACCCUCCAGCCUCGCCACGGAGGGGGCAAACGUGGCACUUUAGCCUUGCGGGUGACAUGGAACCGCGGGGAGCCAAUUUUUAUUAUUUUGGCUCCAUAAAUUUGCUCCAGAGAGUAGGAAUUGCGAGGCUCCUGUGGUGGAGUUGUGUUGCUCAUGCCCCAUUGGCAGGGUUUCACCGGAAACCGCUGAGAAAGCUCUGCCAAAGGGGACCUUAUUAUUAAUGUUUUGAAGGAUGAAUAACUAACGAAUCUUCCAAUCUAAGAUCCAUGGUACAAGAAUAAAUGGCACAUGCCGCACGACCAGUAGCGGCUGGGGGGCACGUUCCACAGACUGCAGCUAGGCCCAUGCGGCAAGGCGUGAGCGCGAGCCCGACUCAGUGCCGCGACGCAGCCAGGCAGGGUGGCAGGGGCAGGGCCCUGCGCGUGUACGUGCAAACGCAGCACUCACCAGUGAUGUACUCCCUCUGUUCCAAAUAGUAGAUCGUUUUGAUUUUUCUAGGUUCAUAAAUAUUAUUAUGCACCUAGAUGUACACUAUAUCUAGAUGCAUAAUAAUAUCAAUGAAUAAAAAGCUAAAAUGACCUACAAUUUGGAACAGAGUAAUGUCGUAAUGAUCAGUUGAGAGUUUAUAAAUCAGAAGGCAAUGAGUUCUUUUGCUCAUGCAGAGUACAGGAAUACGAGUAUUCAUUAGUUUAUUAGGUAAUCGCCUACAUGUCAGCAGGAAUUUUGCUUAGGGGGUGGCCUGAUAUAUAUCAUUACCAUUGAAUGGUCAACACAAAUAGAAGUCAAUAUAUAUGUUGUACAAACUAUUCUAUACUCAUAACUCACGAGUGCACUAAGUAUUGAUAACACAUAUCAUCCCACUAAAAGCAAUUAGUAAAAAUUGUCCUUGGGGUACACGAAAGCAAGCGUUAUAGAAGUAAUCAAGAACAACUAACCUUCUUAUUUUGGUCGCGUCCUAGGUGUCUUUAUAUCAUAGAAGUCAUCUUUUUUUUUUUUGCGAGAUAUAAACGUAGAGGUCAUUAUUCGGUGCUUCGGUGUGAACGAAGCCUAUGACAAUCUCCAACUUCUCGAUGUAGAUUAUCAACGGAGCGAACUCCUUGCGGUUGCCGUGGAAAAACGUGAGGCCAGAGCCAGAGCGCUGAGCGAUGGAGCCAAGUGGAGCCGUCGCGAGGCGUCCGAACAGGAACCUCGAGGGGGACACCGAGGACCAACUGAAGGUCCAGGCAUGUACGCACAAAAUGCCGUGCCGCAUGCUGCCACAUGCCUGCUCUCAUCAUCCCAUAUUCCCAUGGAUCGACCGCAACGGGUCUAUCUUGAUCAGAGACAGUAGAAGCGCGCCCGCGAUGCACGAGGGGAGCGUUCCACACCUCCCCUGUUGCCGCCUGUGCCGUCUGCCACAGCAUAUACCCCGCGCUGCUCCACCCCCCUGGCCCCUCAUCCCAAACCACAUCUAGUUGGCUAGCUCAGCGACCACGGAAUCACACAACAUGGAUCUAGCAGCUCGCCGCCACCUCCACCCCACCGUUGGGGCGCUCCUCGCCGCCGCGCUCCUGCUCUCCGCCAUCGCCGUCCCGGGUGCCACGGCGCAGGACGAAACAGGCCAGUGAUCGAGCCCGAUCGAAUGCAUGUCCAUUCCCAUCACCACCAUGCACCUGUCCAUGUAGGAGUAGUAGUGUACAUCUGAAUAAUAAUCUGACCGGAGGAUGCAUUGCAUUUGGUUGGGCUUGCAGAGGACGAGCAUGAGUUCAGCUACGACCCGGCCGUGGAGAACGGGACGGAUCACUGGGGCGAGGUCAAGCCGGAGUGGGCGACCUGCAGCGAGGGCCGGUGGCAGUCCCCCAUUGCCCUCUACGGCCACCGCGCCAUUCAGCGCGACCUCGGCUACCUCAACUACUCCUACCAGCCCGCCGAGGCCUCCAUCGUCAACCGCGGCCACGAUAUCAUGGU